Molecule: transfer RNA, 77 nt
Filed under: Bdellovibrionales bacterium
Lineage: Bacteria; Pseudomonadati; Bdellovibrionota; Bdellovibrionia; Bdellovibrionales
Description: tRNA-Arg
Rfam family: tRNA
About the family: Transfer RNA (tRNA) molecules are approximately 80 nucleotides in length. Their secondary structure includes four short double-helical elements and three loops (D, anti-codon, and T loops). Further hydrogen bonds mediate the characteristic L-shaped molecular structure. tRNAs have two regions of fundamental functional importance: the anti-codon, which is responsible for specific mRNA codon recognition, and the 3' end, to which the tRNAs corresponding amino acid is attached (by aminoacyl-tRNA synthetases). tRNAs cope with the degeneracy of the genetic code in two manners: having more than one tRNA (with a specific anti-codon) for a particular amino acid; and 'wobble' base-pairing, i.e. permitting non-standard base-pairing at the 3rd anti-codon position.
Source: RNAcentral
GCGUCCGUAGCUCAGCUGGAUAGAGCAUUAGCCUUCUAAGCUAGGGGUCGCACGUUCGAAUCGUGCCGGACGCACCA